CAGCGCGACCCUCCCCAUCUUGUUACUGGCGGGCAAGGCCCCCGAUCACGUGAUACCGCCCCCCAACUCCGGGCGGAAGAGGCCAGCGACAGCGCUGCACGAAGCGAGUGGGCGGGCGCUCGUGCCCGGCUAAAAGAUGGCUGCUGGCGCCUGGCAGCCACCGCCUGGGAGGUUACUGUAAGGCCCGCAGCUCCCGCCAGCUCCCGCGGACUGCUGCCGCCUCCUUACCAUGAAGCCAGUAAGUCGUCGCACGCUGGACUGGAUUUAUUCAGUGUUGCUGCUUGCCAUCGUUUUAAUCUCCUGGGGCUGCAUCAUCUAUGCUUCGAUGGUGUCUGCAAGACGACAGCUAAGGAAGAAAUACCCAGACAAAAUCUUUGGGACGAAUGAAAAUUUGUAACUCUUCUGGAUUUAAUUAUCUGAAAAUACAGUUCUUUCCCUCAUGCUUAUGUAGAUAUAAAAAUAAAAUUCAUAAUGCAAAGUUCCCAAGUUUAUUUUUGCAUUAUCCUUUAUAACAAGCACUAGUAUGCAAAUUUUUCACUUAGAGAUUUUAGUAUUUUACAUUCUCAUGACAAAAUUAACAGCAACCUAAAUCUGACAGUCUUGAGUGUCAGAUCAUAGUUGGAAUAAGCUUUUCAAUCAAGUUUCUAAAUUCUUCAAAAAUGAUUCGGAAAGCUUUUUUUUUUUUUGAGACGGAGUCUUGCUCUGUCGCCCAGGCUCAGUGGCACUAUCUCGGCUUACUGCAAGCUCCGCCUUCUGGGUUCACACCAAUCUCGUGCCUCAGCCUCCGCAGUAGCUGGGACUACAGGAGCCCGCCACCACGCCCGGCUAAUUUUUUUGUAUUUUUAGUAGGGACGGGGUUUCACUGUGUUAGCCAUGAUGGUCUCGAUCUCCUGACUUCGUGAUCUGCCCGCCUCGGCCUCCCAAAGUGCUGGGAUUACAGGCAUGAGCCACUGCGCCUGGCCGGAAAGAUUUCCUUAAAACAAAAGUGCAUGGAAUUGC
This 999-nucleotide long non-coding RNA is filed under the name Homo sapiens (human). RNAcentral's name for it is "HSALNT0351600". The record is from RNAcentral. Lineage: Eukaryota; Metazoa; Chordata; Mammalia; Primates; Hominidae.